AAUCAACGCUGGCGGCGUGCUUAACACAUGCAAGUCGAGCGGUAAGGCCCUUUCGGGGGUACACGAGCGGCGAACGGGUGAGUAACACGUGGGUGACCUGCCCUUAGCUCUGGGAUAAGCCUGGGAAACUGGGUCUAAUACCGGAUAUGACUCCAUGACGCAUGUUGUGGGGUGGAAAGCCUUGUGCGGCUAGGGAUGGGCCCGCGGCCUAUCAGCUUGUUGGUGGGGUGAUGGCCUACCAAGGCGACGACGGGUAGCCGGCCUGAGAGGGCGACCGGCCACACUGGGACUGAGACACGGCCCAGACUCCUACGGGAGGCAGCAGUGGGGAAUCUUGCGCAAUGGGCGAAAGCCUGACGCAGCGACGCCGCGUGGGGAUGACGGCCU
RNAcentral lists this ribosomal RNA (387 nucleotides) under uncultured bacterium. RNAcentral describes it as "bacterial SSU rRNA". It matches the Rfam family "Bacterial small subunit ribosomal RNA", at positions 28 to 417 of the family's 1533-position model. The record is from RNAcentral.